UGCCGGGACUGGGGCAGCCCUUACACAUCCUGCCCCAAGCCACAGAACGCACUUCGGGGAGCAUGUCGGCUGCCAAGGAAACAAAGGCGGUGCGGGGUAGCAGGGUUCCCAAAUGGACUCAGCACACGCCCACCAGCAGGCCACGGGGAUGAAAGAGGUCACUGACGUGAGAGGAGUCUGCUGGGUGGGGGCUGGGCUAGAAGAGAACGUCUCCUCUUGCCUCCUGGACAGCUGUUUUCUCCUCUCCGCCCGCCCGUAUCGUGAAAAGCCGUCCAAGAGACAGAAGCAGAAACAGGAGCGCCCAAGCGGCUCCCUGGCGACUCGACUCGUUCCCUGCUUCUCAACUCCCUCCCGUGACUCCAGACUCUGGCGACUCCAUCUCGACUCCUGUGUCCUUCCGGGGGAAACCCCCUGCCCAGGACGGAACUGGAUGUCUUUGUCUUCCCCCCAGCAGCUCAGUCCAGCAGGAGACCACUUGCGUGCUAGGCCUGGUCGCUGAGCCUAGAACCUUACGCUGGCUCGGCUGCCAUCCCCUUCCCAUCCAGAGCUCAGCCCACCGGGUGGCAGACCCCCACGUUCACCUCGAGGUUCUUCCAACUCCAAGCUCUGGUGAGUGACGGGGAGGGCCCUCCUCACGUGUGCUGGUGCACUGCUUGCUUGGCAGGGGAGGGGGGGUGGGGGGUGGCAGGGCGGAAUGGGAGUGCUUGAAGCCUGUGUCCAGAAAGGGCCAGAAUAAAAUCCAUCUCUAUCGAAGGAUUCCGGGUGUGUGCAACAUGGGGGCUUGGUGGACCUCUCCACAGGCCCCUCCCUCCUCUCGGUUUCAGAGCCUCCAAGCCUCCCCCCGCUUGCUCACCCAUGGGUUCCCAGUGCCUCCUUUCCUCCUGCUGCCAUGGAGAGGUUUGGAUUGCUGUCUGGAAUGCCAGUGUUCUCUCAAGGAAGGGAGGC
This 945-nucleotide long non-coding RNA is filed under the name Dasypus novemcinctus (nine-banded armadillo). RNAcentral's name for it is "lncRNA (ENSDNOG00000050294.1)". The record is from RNAcentral. Lineage: Eukaryota; Metazoa; Chordata; Mammalia; Cingulata; Dasypodidae.